AGCUUAAAACUGUGAGUGAAAAAAUGAGCAUGAAUUAUGUUUACAACCUGAAUUUCUAGUUACUUUCUUCUCUGUCCAUACCCACAAUACCCUUUCUUCUCCUUCCCCGACUUCUUCUCCUUCUUCUCCUUCCUAAAUUGCUCCACAUCAUUUGUCGCGCACACCGAUCACUUCUUCUCUUCUUCAGACUCUUGAUGGAGGCCCCACUCGUUGGUCUUUCACCUCGUCAAGGGAUAGUUCUUCCUCAACUUUUGUGACAGAUUCCCUUUCAUGAGCUACCUUCUUCUGCUCCAUGGGCUGACUCUAGCCACACGCACGACAGUCGAAGCUCGAUCACACUACCUUCUUUCCCAUUCAAGCUCGUGGUUAUUCACACUGCUUCGUCCUCUGUCAAUCUCAUCGGACCUGGUAAUUGAUUUCGUUUUCUACUUGUUUUGAAUAAACUGAUUUACGUUUAUCCUCUUGAUUUGAUUAAUAAGAUGAUUUGAAUAAAAACCUAAUUGCUACUUUGCAUCUCAAGAAUUAAAAAGCCCUAAAUAUCCAUUUGGUUAUGGUAAAAUUAGGUCACUCUUUCCACUGCUUGGUUAACCUCAACUAGAAAGAAUUAGGCUCAUAAUCUCAAAAUACUCUAUGCAUGCAAACACAUUCUACUAUGUAAGUAACUGGCCUUAUUAAACCUCACAAUCUCUUCCUACAUUGAUUGACAAUAUACUUUAUCAUCAUUCUUCAAUUGACCACACAAGCCGAAAAGCUUAUCAUGACCAAGUUUUUUUUGUGAAGCUAACACUGACUUCAUUCAUUGAAUGAAUAGCAAUAACCAAUAUGGUAGAAAGCAAAUAAUCACAUUAGAAGCCAAAUCAAACUAAAAAAGGGAAGAGAAAUUUAACUUACAGUUUGCACAAUUAAAAUAUAAGUCUAGAUUUGACAAUAUUAUUUUUAUCAUUUUCCUGUAAAAUAUUAUUAAAGAUCAAUAAAUUUUAGAACUUCAAAAUAAACCUGAAACUCAACAGUUGAGUUAUCAAGUUGUGGAAAUUUAGAAUGAAUGAGGGCACAACUAUUACUUUAGACACGCAACGCAUUCUGAUAUGCCUUCAAAGAUUGCAAAAGCUUACUAUAAUCCCACGCUUGGAUAACAAAAAAAGUUGUAAGGCAUGCAUUUCCUAGAUUAUUUGAAAAACAAAAUAGUGUAGAUGUGUUAUAUUAUUAUUUGCGUUUAUGUUAUGUACAAAUCAUUUGUGUGUUCAAUUGUUGUUGGAGAAAAAUUGAAGAUUCAGAGCCUCCUACUUCGAAUUCUAUUAUGAAGAUGGGCUCCAGGAAACUUAUGUUUAGGACAUCAAAGAAAAAGUUGUUUUGUCCCAUGCUCAUGCUCUUUCCUUGAUAACAUCCGGAGAAGAUUAGAGUAGUAUAAAGCUACUUUUAGCAUUUGGUCUAUUGAAAUGUACUAAUUUUAUGGGUCUGUUAUUUGCUGGAUUCAUGAAUCCUUAAAUUGUGUCAUUUAGAUUAUUACAAUGCCCCUUUGAUCAUAGAAGGUUGUCAAGAAGAUGGUGAAGAAGAUGGUGAAGAAGAUGACAAUAGAGGAAUUUAGAUGAAGAGAGAAAGAUGCAAUCCUAAACUAGAUGAAGGACAGUAAGGUUUUUAGAUGAAGAACGAAUUUGUUUAUUUUAUGUUUGAAAUCUUUUUAUGUGAAUGAGAUGACUUGAUCUCCUAAUCUCCUAAUACUAGCAGCAAAAUUGUAAGAUUAAUAGUUAGCAGGUUUUUAUUUUGCUAUGUUUAUAUUAACUGCCUUCGUUAAUCAAUCAACAUUCUGUAUUUUGCUAUGUUUUAUA
Long non-coding RNA from Cucumis sativus (cucumber), 1826 nucleotides. RefSeq lists it as uncharacterized. Lineage: Eukaryota; Viridiplantae; Streptophyta; Magnoliopsida; Cucurbitales; Cucurbitaceae. The record is from RefSeq and is a predicted model, not a curated record. The transcript has 2 exons.